This is a long non-coding RNA of Argentina anserina (silverweed cinquefoil), 321 nucleotides long. RefSeq lists it as uncharacterized. The record is from RefSeq and is a predicted model, not a curated record. The transcript has 4 exons. NCBI's taxonomy places the organism in Eukaryota, Viridiplantae, Streptophyta, Magnoliopsida, Rosales, Rosaceae.
UUUCGAGCUAACUUCUCUCGACCCAUAGCGACGUCGACUGCGACAGAGCUGAAAGACGGCGACGAUGGGGUUCCCUCCGUUUCUGGUUCAGAGUUUUACGACGAUAUGUAACAUAUACACGUCUUCACCUGUUAAAUGAAGAGAUGCUUAUCAGCAUAUGGAGAGUUUGGCUUGGGGGUAGAUGGUAAGAAGGAAAUCAGUGAGAGCAUACGGUGAAGAUAUUGCAACGAAAAGUAUCAAAUGAAAAGUCUCCAAGUUCCGAAGGAGGAAAGUGGAUCUUGAAGAAGCAACUAAUGUUGAGCCUUCUCAGAUAAGAUAGUG